GUGUCAGCCGCCGCGGUAAUACGGAGGGUGCAAGCGUUAAUCGGAAUUACUGGGCGUAAAGCGCACGUAGGUGGUUUUGUAAGUUGGAUGUGAAAGCCCUGGGCUCAACCUGGGAAUUGCAUUCGAUACUGCUUAACUAGAGUAUGGUAGAGGGAAGUGGAAUUUCCGGUGUAGCGGUGAAAUGCGUAGAUAUCGGAAGGAACACCAGUGGCGAAGGCGACUUCCUGGGCCAAUACUGACACUGAGGUGCGAAAGCGUGGGUAGCAAACAGGAUUAGAAACCCUCGUAGUCC
RNAcentral lists this ribosomal RNA (292 nucleotides) under uncultured bacterium. RNAcentral describes it as "partial 16S ribosomal RNA". It matches the Rfam family "Bacterial small subunit ribosomal RNA", at positions 505 to 796 of the family's 1533-position model. The record is from RNAcentral.